UAUUAAUGACGGAAAGGAAUGAUGGGUGGACGAUGAUUAACUAAUCUUAUUUUUAAAUGUUGAAAUUCAAUAAAUUUCAAUUUCUAAAAAAUAGGAUUAGUCUGCCCAAUUUCCAUACAACGGUAUUGCUAUUUAUGUUGCGCAAUAGUUUAUUUGGGUAUAAAUAUUUUAACGACUAAUCCUGCCAAAUUUAUUUGGGAGGAUUUUUUA
Molecule: small RNA, 210 nt
Organism: Bacillus anthracis str. 'Ames Ancestor'
Lineage: Bacteria; Bacillati; Bacillota; Bacilli; Caryophanales; Bacillaceae
Rfam family: Bacillus sRNA ncr1575
Source: Rfam